This 453-nucleotide ribosomal RNA is filed under the name uncultured Desulfovibrio sp. RNAcentral's name for it is "bacterial SSU rRNA". It matches the Rfam family "Bacterial small subunit ribosomal RNA", at positions 929 to 1382 of the family's 1533-position model. Lineage: Bacteria; Pseudomonadati; Thermodesulfobacteriota; Desulfovibrionia; Desulfovibrionales; Desulfovibrionaceae. The record is from RNAcentral.
GCGUGGAGUAUGUGGUUUAAUUCGACGCAACGCGCAGACCUUACCUGGUCUUGACAUCCCGGGAAUCUUGUGGAAACACGAGAGUGCCUCGCAAGAGGAGCCUGGAGACAGGUGCUGCAUGGCUGUCGUCAGCUCGUGUCGUGAGAUGUUGGGUUAAGUCCCGCAACGAGCGCAACCCUCGCCUUUAGUUGCCAGCAUUCAGUUGGGCACUCUAGAGGGACUGCCGGUGUCAAACCGGAGGAAGGUGGGAUGACGUCAAGUCCUCAUGGCCUUUAUGUCUAGGGCUACACACGUACUACAAUGGCCGGUACAAAGGGCAGCCACUCAGCGAUGAGGCGCUAAUCCCAUAAAGCCGGCCUCAGUCCGGAUCGCAGUCUGCAACUCGACUGCGUGAAGUUGGAAUCGCUAGUAAUCGUAGAUCAGCAUGCUACGGUGAAUACGUUCCCGGGCCUU